This 231-nucleotide long non-coding RNA is filed under the name Elaeis guineensis (African oil palm). RNAcentral describes it as "long non-coding RNA (EGUI_LNC005369)". Lineage: Eukaryota; Viridiplantae; Streptophyta; Magnoliopsida; Arecales; Arecaceae. The record is from RNAcentral.
GGCUCCAUAUACCAGUGAGAGUGCUGGACUGACAGUAACUAGAAAAUAAAUUAAAAUUAAAGAAAAACCCAUUUGAGAUUAAAUAAUUUGUUAAAAAUUAUAAAUAAAACUAAAACAUAUAAUUAAUCAUGAUUAAUCAUUUCAAAACAUAAUUUUUGCUAGAUCCUUUUAAUCUCAUUGAAUGAUGUAGUGAUAUUUAAUUGGGUGGUCUAAAGUCCAUAAUCCGAUUGG